This 405-nucleotide unclassified non-coding RNA is filed under the name uncultured fungus. RNAcentral describes it as "partial contains internal transcribed spacer 2 and large subunit ribosomal RNA". The record is from RNAcentral. Lineage: Eukaryota; Fungi.
AACGCACCUUGCACUGUAGGAGUCAAUCCUACAGUAUACCUGUUUGAGUAUCAUUUACAUCUAUCCAAUUCUACUCUAUUGUAUGUAUUGGGAGUUGAGGGUUUCGGGAACAUGGUGUGUGUGCAUGCGUGCAUGUAUACAGACAGUGUGCUCCUGGUCUCUUUAAAUGCAGCAGGGACCAAGGAUAGGCGCGCCCAAUUCUUGAAUGAGGAUAUUUGCUCUUGUGGUAAAGCAGUCAUGAAGGAACAGGCAAGCGAUAUUUGUUUUGGGCCCUUUAAGCAGCAGCAGCAGCAUUGCCAAUCCAAAGGCUUCUGGAAACAGAAGCUCUGGCUGACAAGCAGCAGCAGCAGCAGCGACACGUACAAUCGUGAUCUCAAAUCAGGCAAGACUACCCGCCGAACUUAA